UCAAUAAUAAAAGUGCAUAUACUAUAAUUGUAGUGGUACAGAAAAGAUUAGCAGGAUUCCUGUGCCAGGAUGAUAUACAAAUCCAUAAAAUCUUCAUACUGUU
Small nuclear RNA from Rattus rattus (black rat), 103 nucleotides. NCBI's taxonomy places the organism in Eukaryota, Metazoa, Chordata, Mammalia, Rodentia, Muridae. The record is from RefSeq and is a predicted model, not a curated record.